CCUGCCAGUAGUCAUAUGCUUGUCUCAAAGAUUAAGCCAUGCAUGUCUCAGUACAAGCCAAAUUAAGGUGAAACCGCGAAAGGCUCAUUAAAUCAGUUAUGGUUCCUUAGAUCGUACCCACAUUUACUUGGAUAACUGUGGUAAUUCUAGAGCUAAUACAUGCAAACAGAGCUCCAACCGGAGACGGAAGGAGUGCUUUUAUUAGAACAAAACCAAUCGGCGGCGUGUUCGCUUGCGUUCACGUUCGCCGCCCAACUUGGUGACUCUGAAUAACUUUACGCUGAUCGCACGGUCUUGCACCGGCGACGCAUCUUUCAAAUGUCUGCCUUAUCAACUGUCGAUGGUAGGUUCUGCGCCUACCAUGGUUGUAACGGGUAACGGGGAAUCAGGGUUCGAUUCCGGAGAGGGAGCCUGAGAAACGGCUACCACAUCCAAGGAAGGCAGCAGGCGCGCAAAUUACCCACUCCCGGCACGGGGAGGUAGUGACGAAAAAUAACGAUACGGGACUCAUCCGAGGCCCCGUAAUCGGAAUGAGUACACUUUAAAUCCUUUAACGAGGAUCAAUUGGAGGGCAAGUCUGGUGCCAGCAGCC
RNAcentral lists this ribosomal RNA (592 nucleotides) under Carabus coriaceus. Its description in RNAcentral is "SSU rRNA". It matches the Rfam family "Eukaryotic small subunit ribosomal RNA", at positions 13 to 575 of the family's 1831-position model. RNAcentral also lists the same sequence under 3 other names. The record is from RNAcentral. Lineage: Eukaryota; Metazoa; Arthropoda; Insecta; Coleoptera; Carabidae.